Molecule: ribosomal RNA, 468 nt
Filed under: uncultured bacterium
Lineage: Bacteria
Description: partial 16S ribosomal RNA
Rfam family: Bacterial small subunit ribosomal RNA
Source: RNAcentral
GAUGAACGCUGGCGGCGUGCCUAACACAUGCAAGUCGAGCGAUUCUCUUCGGAGAAGAGCGGCGGACGGGUGAGUAACGCGUGGGUAACCUGCCCUGUACACACGGAUAACAUACCGAAAGGUAUGCUAAUACGAGAUAAUAUGCUUUUAUCGCAUGGUAGAAGUAUCAAAGCUCCGACGGUACAGGAUGGACCCGCGUCUGAUUAGCUAGUUGGUAAGGCAAGGGCUUACCAAGGCGACGAUCAGUAGCCGACCUGAGAGGGUGAUCGGCCACAUUGGAACUGAGACACGGUCCAAACUCCUACGGGAGGCAGCAGUGGGGAAUAUUGCACAAUGGGCGAAAGCCUGAUGCAGCAACGCCGCGUGAGCGAUGAAGGCCUUCGGGUCGUAAAGCUCUGUCCUCAAGGAAGAUAAUGACGGUACUUGAGGAGGAAGCCCCGGCUAACUACGUGCCAGCCGCCGCAGUAA